Lolium perenne is the source of this 1211-nucleotide long non-coding RNA. RefSeq lists it as uncharacterized. The record is from RefSeq and is a predicted model, not a curated record. NCBI's taxonomy places the organism in Eukaryota, Viridiplantae, Streptophyta, Magnoliopsida, Poales, Poaceae.
CCUGCCGACAGCCCCUCCAUCCCUAUCGUCUCUCUCUCCCCUUAUCCUAUCUCCCCUGCUCUCCCAUUUUCAACUCAUCCCCACACCACGCGCCACCCACCCCAGCUCCAUCCACGGCGCAUCUGCUCAUUCCCGCGUCCCUCCCUCCACAGCUCGGCGGCCCGACGGCCUGCCCUUCUCUCUCCAUGGCGCGACGGCCCUGCUCCGGUCCUCACGGCGCCCCUGUUGCUCAACUUCCUCCCACAGGUGGCGGCGCAGGGGCGCGGGUGGCUGCAAGGGAAGGAGGAGCAGCACGGCUCAUCCAUUUGCUUCCUCGUCCAUCGACACGCUGCUAGUCAACUUCUUCCAUGCAUGGUGGCCACAACGAGCUCCACCACCUGCGUUGCUGUCUCCCAUCGCCCCCAACGAGGUCCUCCACGCACUCACCUUUUAGAUCGAACGCCCCGCAUCCUGCUAGAGCUGGAGCUCGGCUCCCAAGGCGCCACCAUCAGCAACUACUUCUUGACUCUCUCUCCAUUACGGAUUGCUUUUUUUUCCCAGAUCUUUUUUUUUCUGUAUUUGUAUUCUGUUGAGAUCCAAAAGAAUGUUCCUGGUCUGGAGCCACAUCUUGGCUAUUUUUGUGAUCACGCACGGGGAUGUGAUUUCAGGUUGUACUGCUCAAGAUCCAUGCGCCUCUCUGUAUGUUCUAUAAAUUCUGAGUUUUCUUCCAGCAGAAAUGUUAUUGACGAUUUGAUCUGUUUCCCCAUGCUACAAUUUUUAUCUCUCUUGUCGUGCUAGGCGGGGACACAGCUCUGAGGAUCGCGUCGGGAUGAUGAUGUCUAGCGCCCUGCGCGCUGCCGGCCUGCAUCCCCUUCCUCUGCGAUGCGGCCGGCGAGCUCCUCCAAGACCUGCUGUAACCGCUGUUUCUGCCGAGCCGGACCGGGGACGAGCGAUGUCAGCCGUGGCGCAUGAUUCUUGUUAGAUCUUUUGUGGAUACACACAGAUUUAGACACUUGGAGAAAUCGAUUGUUGGUGGUUUGAGUAAAAACUUGCCUUGUCAAAUAUGGUGGUUGUUGCAAAAAUAUAUUAUGUGCUAAUCCGAAGAAGCAGCUUACAGUUCUCUUUCACAUGUCCAGUGAGUGACGCUCUCACGUCAGGUGUUUGUGCCGAUCGGACUUGUAUCUGUAAAUUGUAAAAUGUUGUUGAUCAAUGAAUUUUCCUGUUGGAUGAAA